AACCACAUAAGAAUUUAAAGAGAGAGGAAUCAGUUUUGAUUUUCUCUCUUUCAUUUCUCCAUCUUCCAAAUUUCUUCACUUGGUUACAAUCGGAGAAGGCGAGCAGAUCCAGAUUCCAACGAGGCUUAGAUAGUCGAAGAAUGUCAAAUCGAACAUGAAGCCAGCAGGAACAAACCAUGAACAACCAAUAACAAAUUGGAGUAGAGCCGCAUGGUCAACGCAAAGACCUAAGCGCUGGAAAUCAUAAUGAAAAGGCAUCCAAAUCCAAGAAAUAACCAG
Molecule: long non-coding RNA, 279 nt
Filed under: Panax ginseng (ginseng)
Lineage: Eukaryota; Viridiplantae; Streptophyta; Magnoliopsida; Apiales; Araliaceae
Description: long non-coding RNA (PGIN_LNC018949)
Source: RNAcentral